GAUGAACGCUGGCGGCGUGCCUAAUACAUGCAAGUCGAGCGAACGGACGAGAAGCUUGCUUCUCUGAUGUUAGCGGCGGACGGGUGAGUAACACGUGGAUAACCUACCUAUAAGACUGGGAUAACUUCGGGAAACCGGAGCUAAUACCGGAUAAUAUUUUGAACCGCAUGAUUCAAAGGUGAAAGACGGUCUUGCUGUCACUUAUAGAUGGAUCCGCGCUGCAUUAGCUAGUUGGUAAGGUAACGGCUUACCAAGGCAACGAUGCAUAGCCGACCUGAGAGGGUGAUCGGCCACACUGGAACUGAGACACGGUCCAGACUCCUACGGGAGGCAGCAGUAGGGAAUCUUCCGCAAUGGGCGAAAGCCUGACGGAGCAACGCCGCGUGAGUGAUGAAGGUCUUCGGAUCGUAAAACUCUGUUAUUAGGGAAGAACAUAUGUGUAAGUAACUGUGCACAUCUUGACGGUACCUAAUCAGAAAGCCACGGCUAACUACGUG
RNAcentral lists this ribosomal RNA (497 nucleotides) under uncultured bacterium. RNAcentral's name for it is "partial 16S ribosomal RNA". It matches the Rfam family "Bacterial small subunit ribosomal RNA", at positions 28 to 507 of the family's 1533-position model. The record is from RNAcentral.